RNAcentral lists this ribosomal RNA (482 nucleotides) under Cinachyrella sp. 3-10. Its description in RNAcentral is "SSU rRNA". It matches the Rfam family "Eukaryotic small subunit ribosomal RNA", at positions 393 to 883 of the family's 1831-position model. The record is from RNAcentral. Lineage: Eukaryota; Metazoa; Porifera; Demospongiae; Tetractinellida; Tetillidae.
AGCCUGAGAAACGGCUACCACAUCCAAGGAAGGCAGCAGGCGCGCAAAUUACCCAAUCCCGACUCGGGGAGGUAGUGACAAUAAAUAACAAUGCCGGGCUCUCGUAGUCUGGCAAUUGGAAUGAGUCCAAUCUAAACCCCUUAACGAGGAACAAUUGGAGGGCAAGUCUGGAGCCAGCAGCGGCGGUAAUUCCAGGUCCAAUAGCGUAUAUUAAAGUUGUUGCAGUUAAAAAGCUCGUAGUUGGAUUUCGGGGCGGCCCGGCCGGUCCGCCGCGAGGCGAGCACUGGUCGGGCGCCCUUCCUCUCGAAGGCUUCGACUGCGCUUGAUUGCGGUGGUCGAGGAGUUCGGGACGUUUACUUUGAAAAAAUUAGAGUGUUCAAGGCAGGCCGUCGCCUGAAUACAUUAGCAUGGAAUAAUGGAAGAGGACCUCGGUCCUAUUUUGUUGGUUUCCAGGGCCGAAGUAAUGAUUAAGAGGGACAGUU